RNAcentral lists this ribosomal RNA (379 nucleotides) under uncultured bacterium. RNAcentral describes it as "bacterial SSU rRNA". It matches the Rfam family "Bacterial small subunit ribosomal RNA", at positions 362 to 758 of the family's 1533-position model. The record is from RNAcentral.
UAUUGGCCAAUGGGCGAAAGCCUGAUCCAGCAAUGCCGCGUGAGUGAUGAAGGCCUUAGGGUUGUAAAGCUCUUUUACCCGGGAUGAUAAUGGCAGUACCGGGAGAAUAAGCUCCGGCUAACUCCGUGCCAGCAGCCGCGGUAAUACGGAGGGAGCUAGCGUUGUUCGGAAUUACUGGGCGUAAAGCGCACGUAGGCGGCUUUGUAAGUUAGAGGUGAAAGCCUGGAGCUCAACUCCAGAAUUGCCUUUGAUACUGCAUCGCUUGAAUCCAGGAGAGGUGAGUGGAAUUCCGAGUGUAGAGGUGAAAUUCGUAGAUAUUCGGAAGAACACCAGUGGCGAAGGCGGCUCACUGGACUGGUAUUGACGCUGAGGUGCGAAA